CACGUAGGGCGCAAGCGUUGUCCGGAAUUAUUGGGCGUAAAGAGCUCGUAGGCGGUCUGUUGCGUCCGCUGUGAAAUCUCGGGGCUUAACCCCGAGCCUGCAGUGGAUACGGGCAGACUAGAGGUAGGUAGGGGAGAAUGGAAUUCCCGGUGUAGCGGUGAAAUGCGCAGAUAUCGGGAGGAACACCGGUGGCGAAGGCGGUUCUCUGGGCCUUACCUGACGCUGAGGUGCGAAAGCGUGGGGAGCAAACAGG
RNAcentral lists this ribosomal RNA (253 nucleotides) under uncultured bacterium. Its description in RNAcentral is "partial 16S ribosomal RNA". It matches the Rfam family "Bacterial small subunit ribosomal RNA", at positions 524 to 776 of the family's 1533-position model. The record is from RNAcentral.